This 473-nucleotide ribosomal RNA is filed under the name uncultured bacterium. Its description in RNAcentral is "bacterial SSU rRNA". It matches the Rfam family "Bacterial small subunit ribosomal RNA", at positions 28 to 507 of the family's 1533-position model. The record is from RNAcentral.
GGUGAACGCUGGCGGCGUGCCUAACACAUGCAAGUCGAGCGGUGCAGUUUGAAGCUUCGGUGGAAAGCUGCAUAGCGGCGGACGGGUGAGGAAAACGUAGGAACGUGCCCCUUGGAGUUGGAUAGCCACGGGAAACUGUGGGUAAACCGACAUAGACUCGAGAGAGUAAAGGCCGAAAGGCGCCAAGGGAGCGGCCUGCGGCCCAUCAGGUAGUUGGUAGUGUAAAGGACUACCAAGCCGACGACGGGUAGCCGGUCUGAGAGGAAGGUCCCCCACACUGGAACUGAGACACGGUCCAGACUCCUACGGGAGCAGCAGUGAGGAAUAUUGGUCAAUGGGCGCGAGCCUGAACCAGCCACGUCGCGUGAAGGAUGACGGCCUUAUGGGUUGUAAACUUCUUUUACAGGGGAAUAAAGUGAGUCACGUGUGUAUUUUUGCAUGUACCCUGUGAAUAAGCAUCGGCUAACUCCGUG